AUUAAGAAUUAUUGUAUUUUUUAAUAUGCUAAGGAUAUUGAAUUUUGUUCUUAAAAUUAAUCUCAAUUCCAAACAGGAUAUGAGACUGAUGUUUUAUCUCAGACCUAAAGGUUUAGCAUCUAUUAAUAGCUUACAAACUGUUAAAAUGCCCGACUCCUGAUCCUGCUCAGGGAGAUUGAAACCUGGGCAUCACCAAGAUGCCAGUUUGCCAUACUUCUCUCAUGGACCCCGACACCAAACUCAUUGGAAACAUGGCACUGUUACCUAACAGAAAUCAGUUCAAAGGACCCGCCCCUAAAGAAACAAAAGAUAUGGAUAUUGUAGAUGAAGCCAUCUAUUACUUCAAGGCAGAUGAGCUAGGCUUCAAAAACUAUUAAGAAUGAAGCUGACAGGACCUUGAUAUAUAGAACUGUCUACAUUUCUGAGUGUCUAAAGAAACUCUAAGGCACAAAACUCCAAAAGUGCAAUUUCAAAAGCCAAGGCGAUAAAGAAAUCCAUACACUGAGAAUCAUUAAUUUUCCCACUCCUGGAGAGCCUAGUAUUAAGUUUUCUACUGAAUACAAUUCAUGCCAAACCUGCAAACAGAGGAAUAUGAAGUGAUGAGAGCCUGUUUACAACAGCUAAGGCAAGAGACUGGACUGAGAUUUUUGUGAGAAAGUUUUUGACCCUGAGAAUGAUAAACCCAACAAGUGGUAAACUUGCUUUGUGAAGAGACAGUUCGUGAACAAGAACAAGACUCUUUCAGAACCUGGACAGUGAAGGGAGCCUGGGCAGCAUUUUCCAGUAAGAUGUAUACAAUCCUUUGCCUUUAUUUCAUAAAGCUUUAUAUGGAACAGACUAGAGCAUGUCUGUACUUGAAAAGCUCUUGAUCAAAAUUUGGGUGGGGGAGGGGUGAGUGGGUUAUAAUGAUUGAAAUUUUCUGCAGUGUUAAGCUGGUGCUUAAUAAGAACAAGUAAUAAUAAAAAAAUUUCUAACAUU
Non-coding RNA from Microcebus murinus (gray mouse lemur), 978 nucleotides. The record is from RefSeq and is a predicted model, not a curated record. NCBI's taxonomy places the organism in Eukaryota, Metazoa, Chordata, Mammalia, Primates, Cheirogaleidae.